UUAAAUCAACCUUAUCAUCAACAUUAUCUAAAUCUUCACUAGAUAGAGUCAUAAAAUGGCCAUCUUCACUAAACAUAGAAGGCACCUUAUCAUUCCUUUCAAAUCCUUCUCGAUCAAGCUCCCCACUUUCAAGGCUCGAAUUGUUUCCAUCUGAUUCAACUAUGGGAACCUCUUCUAUCAUCUUAGAAGUAAUUGAUGACGAAGCGGAUGAUGACACGUAUAUGACGUACAAUUAUUACAUUUUAUAUGUUAGGUAG
Molecule: long non-coding RNA, 257 nt
Filed under: Helianthus annuus (common sunflower)
Lineage: Eukaryota; Viridiplantae; Streptophyta; Magnoliopsida; Asterales; Asteraceae
Description: sRNA HanXRQr2_Chr03g0111381
Source: RNAcentral